Denticeps clupeoides (denticle herring) is the source of this 2051-nucleotide long non-coding RNA. The record is from Ensembl. Lineage: Eukaryota; Metazoa; Chordata; Actinopteri; Clupeiformes; Denticipitidae.
AGAGACCUGACGUGAAUGAAGCAUCGCCUCUCGUCUUCUACCUCGAUACGGUACAGAGCUUCAUUUUUUCAUCUUUCUGCUGCUUCUGCGUUCUCUACGUUCUUCCUUCCUUCUCCCAGGCGUCCUCUGCAGAGACGCACCGUCUUAGGCUCAUGGUGCACAAGGUGGUGGAGGUGGUCGCUCUGCUCCAGCCGGCUGCCGUCCGUGUGCGCAGGUUCAACUCGGCUGGUCAGUCCGUCCUCUUCUCUUCUCGGCGUCAGGAGGACCUGGUUCUGCCGGGCUGUUUAUCUCUGUCGUUGAUCUGAACGCCUUCCAGAGAGUCUGUGCGUAAAGUUCUACCACCCGCAGAGGGGAGGCGGACUCCUGAACAAGAUCUGCCACAGCGAUGUGUGCCGAUGUGUUGAAGCGCGCUGCGGCGUACAGAAGAAGCGGGAUUUGCAGCAGGCCGAGCGCAGGGACAACGCCUGUGUGCCGGGCGUGGAUUACGGUGAAUAACCUGCUGGCAUUAACCUGUCCCCAGCCGGGCGGCGUCAGCACCGGGCCCGGAUUUAACCGAGAUGCUUCUCCUGUCCCUGCAGUUUACAAAGUAACCUAUGAACAGGCAGAGGCGGUGGCUCACACAGAUACGUACCACAUGAGGGUCGAGCAGGUGCUGAAAGAAGGUAGGGACGGUCGUAUCAAACCGUACAGAACAACGAUAAAAGUGUUCAAAACGCAGCUCAUUACUUUUUUAAAACUUCCCAUUCACUGCUUAACUCAUUUUACAUUUACAGCAUUUAGCACACGCCCCUUAUUCAGAGAGACUUACAGUCAGUAGUUACAGGGACAGUCCCCCUGGAGACACUCAGGGUUAAGUGUCCUGCUCAGGGACACGAUGGUAGUAAGUGGGGGUCUGAACUUGGGAUUUUGUGGUCUUUUGGUUCUAGGCUGCCACCACCUUUUUUGAAUUGUUGGUCAAUUGCUUUGCGAUUGAUUGCCGCUCUUGUGCACCCUGCACGGCAGACACGCCCACACCCAAUGACACAACGUUGUUGAACAAAAUGCAUCUAUUUUAAUUCCCGGUUUUACAUUUUUUACGCCGGGAGAUCUGGGUUUGGGUUCAUGUCAUGGUUCUGGUUUCGUUUUACCCCAGGCACAGACAGUCUGGUUCAAGGCAAAGUACGUCUUUUCAUGGCCCACCCCUCCUGCAGGCAGACUCUGGACCUGACUAAGGGCAGGUCCUACCUGCUCAUGGGCCACUACAGGGAUCUGGUCCAGUCGAAUGGGAGGUGUGAACUGAGUUCCUUUACUCCUGGAGAAGGAGAAUAACUGGGGACAAUACCGGAAUUCUGUCUUUCAGGUGACUCUCUGUCCUUGCUUCUCUCCACAGUUACUUGUACUCACUCAGCGAGUCCACCUGGAUUGAAUAUUGGCCAACAGAGGUGGAGCGUGCAAGUCCUGCAUUAAAGAAGAACUUAGCAGAUAUUGAAGCGUUUGCUGAAUACAUUAAAAUGAUGGGCUGCCUCUUUUAAAGUCUUCACAUCGAUCCAUAUUCACAUUUUUACAUUUUGUUCAUUCUCUAUGUAGCAUUAGCACUCAAUUAAAAAAAAUGUUACAAAUAAACUACAAAGAGAACACCAUCUUUUACGGCGUUUCCGUAAAGGAUCUUUUCUGGAGUCGGUGAACGCUCACUUCCACGGUUGCCAUUGAUCUGUUUUGAAGUGAAAAUGAAGUGAUUGUCACAUGUGAUACAAAGCAGCACAGCACACGGUGCACACAGUGAAACACUGUGUAAUGAAAAGGUUGACCUGCCUGCUGAUCUCAGAUUACAUCAUUUCGUUGUUGAGCCACGAAGGAUCGGGCGCAAUGACGUUCAGGCAGGAUUCGGAGAUGUCGAAAUUGUCUAGAUGGCUCCACCGAGCCGUAACUCCACCCUCACAGGCCAGUCACUUAUCAGCCCCCGGCAGGCCCGCCGGUUCCUGUAGGCCGGAGUCAGCAUGACUCGCUUUCGCACCGUGCAGCCGUUCCCUCUCGUCCGGAAUCAGGCUUCUGUAGGCAUGUACCCGCCCGCU